CUAUAAAAAGUUAUGUUUCAAAAGAAGGAUGUGGGAAGAAAGGGAAGUAGGGAAGGAAAUGGUAUUUUAAACCAUAUUAAAGUAAGAAACAGGUUUCCUAAUUCUUACAGCCUUAAUUAGUCCUUUUUUUUUUUUUUUGAAGUUAAACAAAAUGGAUUAAUCUCAAAACAUUGCAUUAAAUUUGCCACAGUUCCUGCUCUUCUAUUUGUGUGGGUAGGACUUUCACAGAAGACCUCAGCAGUAAUGACCAUAAAACAAGGACAGCAGCCCAACACACAGCGAACAACCCAUCAGUAAUAAACCGGAGUGUGCAGCUCAGAGCAACACUCCAGUAACAAAUUAGUUAGUGUGUGCGGCCCAGUGCCGAAGAACAACCCAACAAUAACAAACCAGUGUGUGCAACCCAAAGCACUCAAGAGCAACCCAACAAUAACAAACCAGCUUGCAUGCCUGAUGGGAGAAAAGAAAUUCAGUAAGGAAACGGAUUUCAGGCUGAAUUUUCCAAGGGGUUAUUAUUAUUAACAACAGAGAGUUAAACUAUUAAUGUUUAAAUUAAGAAUAAUACCUUCUGGAGCCCAGUCCGGCUUCCAUUGACUUUAAUGGGACUAGGAAUGGACCCAAAGUACCCUUAAGGGAUUUAGCCAGUGUGGAGAACAAACUUUUACCUACAACUAAUGAGCCCACCAUGGCAAAUGGAAAUUUUGCUCAUCUCCGCUGGAUAAUGUGAGCUGGCCUUUAUGGGGAAAUGGAAACUGUUUAAGUCCUGGCACCAAGACUGUGCUUAUGGUAACCUGCUCUCAGAUGCUACCGAGCUGGAUGAGGGUUAGAUCAUCUAACGUGAGGAUGCCUUUUCACCUCAGUGUUUUCCUGCUACGAUGAAAUUCCCAGACGGUCCUUCAAGCAGGAUAAAAGAAGGCUAGACCCACUCUGCAGCUGACAUAAAUCAUUCCUUAUUGCAUGAACCCCCUCCCAGCAUUCCUUCACGAACACACACACACAUACACCAUUAUAUAUAUAUAUGAUGGUGUAAAUAUAUUAUGGUUAUGUUUUCAAGUCCAAAUUCAUCAUCUGGGCCUCCCUCUGCAGAAACCCUCCCUGUCAAAGCAAGCUCACCCACACCCUGCUGAGAGGGAUCUGACUCGUGAGGUCCUGGAUACAGUCCGGAAAGCUCAGACCGAGCCAGCCUGCUCGAACUUCACAGCUUGAGCCCAUCUCUGAUAGAGUUUAUACCUCCCAGAUGCAACCAGACUGGAACAACAGGCAUCUAUCAGAAGGGAUCCUGAGGAGAAGGCAUGGUGAAUCAGAGCUGUGAAGUCCCUAAAAUUCCAGAUCGUCGCUCUGAUCUCACGCUGUUAACACUGUUACUAACACCCACACGACAGAUAGGGGCUCCGAAGAUAUCCAGACAACACAAAGCAGAUACCCUACAUGAUAUUAUUACUGGCAUGCUAUGAAUCUUAUUACUUUCAGCUACUAUCAGUGGAGGAAUGACCUCUCUGCAAUGCAAAUGCAACCAAAAACCACAGCCCCCGGCCCUUUUUCAAACUGAAAUUUCCUAAUCUCACACUACUCUAUCAAACACACAAAUAUGCAACAAUGGAUGGAAAGAAAAUAAGGCUUCUCUAUAUGAGAGCUGGAUUAGAAAGGAAUGACUGGAAAACCUAAAUUGUAGUACAAGAGCAUUCCAGCUUGGGGAUCUGAUGACACUGCGCCGAGCUCUGCUCCUGUGGUUUACAGUACCACCAGACUGUAUAACUUACUAGAACAGUAACCUUGCAUUAAACGGUUUCAUCUGCA
Dromaius novaehollandiae (emu) is the source of this 1797-nucleotide long non-coding RNA. RefSeq lists it as uncharacterized. The record is from RefSeq and is a predicted model, not a curated record. The transcript has 2 exons. Lineage: Eukaryota; Metazoa; Chordata; Aves; Casuariiformes; Dromaiidae.